UACGAAGGGGGCUAGCGUUGUUCGGAAUUACUGGGCGUAAAGGGCGCGUAGGCGGCGUGUCAAGUCAGGCGUGAAAGCCCCGGGCUCAACCUGGGAACCGCGCUUGAGACUGGCAUGCUCGAGUUCGGGAGAGGACGGUGGAAUUCCCAGUGUAGAGGUGAAAUUCGUAGAUAUUGGGAAGAACACCGAUGGCGAAGGCAGCCAUCUGGACCGACACUGACGCUGAGGCGCGAAAGCGUGGGGAGCAAACAGG
This 253-nucleotide ribosomal RNA is filed under the name uncultured bacterium. RNAcentral's name for it is "partial 16S ribosomal RNA". It matches the Rfam family "Bacterial small subunit ribosomal RNA", at positions 524 to 776 of the family's 1533-position model. The record is from RNAcentral.